UAGGAACCUAUCGUUUGGUGGGGAUAACGCUGGGAAACCGGCGCUAAUACCGCAUGUGGUCGGAAGAAGAAAGCAGCAAUGCGCCAGACGAGGGGCCUGCGUCCGAUUAGCUGGUUGGUGGGGUAAAGGCCUACCAAGGCGACGAUCGGUAGCUGGUCUGAGAGGAUGAUCAGCCACACUGGGACUGAGACACGGCCCAG
Molecule: ribosomal RNA, 200 nt
Filed under: uncultured bacterium
Lineage: Bacteria
Description: partial 16S ribosomal RNA
Rfam family: Bacterial small subunit ribosomal RNA
Source: RNAcentral